GACGAACGCUGGCGGCGUGCUUAACACAUGCAAGUCGAACGGAAAGGCCCUGCUUGCCGGGUACUCGAGUGGCGAACGGGUGAGUAACACGUGGGUGAUCUGCCCUCCACUUCGGGAUAAGCCUGGGAAACUGGGUCUAAUACCGGAUAGGAGCCAUUUUUAGUGUGAUGGUUGGAAAGUUUUUUCGGUGUAGGAUGAGCUCGCGGCCUAUCAGCUUGUUGGUGGGGUAAUGGCCUACCAAGGCGGCGACGGGUAGCCGGCCUGAGAGGGUGGACGGCCACAUUGGGACUGAGAUACGGCCCAGACUCCUACGGGAGGCAGCAGUGGGGAAUAUUGCACAAUGGGCGCAAGCCGGAUGCAGCGACGCCGCGUGGGGGAUGACGGCCUUCGGGUUGUAAACUCCUUUCGCUAGGGACGAAGCUUUUUGUGACGGUACCUAGAUAAGAAGCACCGGCUAACUACGUG
This 465-nucleotide ribosomal RNA is filed under the name uncultured bacterium. RNAcentral describes it as "partial 16S ribosomal RNA". It matches the Rfam family "Bacterial small subunit ribosomal RNA", at positions 28 to 507 of the family's 1533-position model. The record is from RNAcentral.